CAAGAGUGCGCACAACUUUUCGCUGGUCGCUCGCGAGCACGCCCCGCGCGCCUCCGCCGCGGGAGUCACCGGGUGAAGAUGAGCCCUUCCACGCUCUGCGCGCAGCCCGCCGAGCGGCCAAGCUGUUGGAUAAAGACUGCUGGCAGAUGAAAAAAGGAUGCACAGGAGGUGCGGCCGUGUGGGAAACUGGCUACUGCUUGUCCGUUUCUCUUCUGCUUGCACAGGCACCGACCGGUCCUGUUAGAUGAAUAUCGAAGCUUUUUUUUUUCCUUCUACUUCAAGUGCCCUCUAGCGAGCAAUAUCUGCGCAGGUUGCUAUGUAGAAAGAAGCAGAAGGGAGGAAGAAAAAGCAAUCCACCAAUUGUCCUCAUUCCUGAACUGAUCCACUCUCCCUCUUUCUUUCCUCAGCAGGGUCAUUUCCACACAAGUGUUUGGCAAAACAAAAAAGGUGUUGUUGCUUUUGCAUGCAAAACAAAUCACUCAUUUACUAAACUGUGAAGCGAACGUUAAUCCUUUCUCAGGGGUUUCUUUUGAGCAUUCAUCAUGAUUUUUCCCCAAGUUUCAUGCACUGUGGUAAUCAAGCAAAUAAAAGAAGGUAAGUUGCUCCCCAGGAAGAAAUUCUGUUUUGUUCCCACUUCCACCUCAGACCAGCUAUAAGGUCUUUGAUUCAAAUUGAUUAACCUCUCCAUGGGAUUGGAGUUUGCGUCUCCAUAAAAGUGCAUAACACUUCUUUCUUACCUCAGGGGGGUGGUAUGAGGCUUAAUUGAAGCUUAUAAAACAAUUUCAGUUCCUCAGACCCAAUUUGAUAUACAGUUGGACUCACUUUUCAUCUACUAACAGGGUUUCAAAUUCUCCUCAGUAGUCUAUAGGGGAAUGUGAGCAAGAUUCUGUAUUUUCAUAAACGUGGCGUUAAAACCAUUGCCACUGUAAAUAGUGAAUUUGCUUAAGAGAUUUGGAAUGAUAAGGCCUGCAAAAAGUACUCAGAAAAGAAAAAUGUAGUGGUUCCUGCAAACAUGUCUGCCUAUAAUAAAUAUAGCUAAAGAGUGAGAAAGGAAUCUUACACAGCAUACACUGGCCAUAUCUCCCUAUGUUUUAUGCAAACUAAUAAUAACAGAAGGUAACUUUAUUCAGACAAACACUCCAUUAAACAGUUACCCUGAGCACAGAAGAAAUGCCAAGGCAUUAUUCAAAUGACUGGAUUCCAGUUACUCAACUUGGAGUUUCUUUUAUUGAUACUAUUAUGCAGCAUUAUGUUUGGUCAGUAUCUUCUGACUCUAGUAUUUUAAAGGGCCAAUGUAGAGUGAAGCAAGCGACCAUAUAAUAUGCCCCAUUGGAUUGUUUACUCGCAGCAUCUCUAAUUAUUGAAGCUCUGUGGAUAGUAGUCAUUAUUUUCAUCCUUCCAUACUUCAAUGUACCUCAAAGCUAAGGAUCAGGAAGUUUAAGUGAUUUCUUCCCAGAUCCCACAAUUAAUAAGACUACAACUUAUAUUUAAAAUGUCUGACAGUAAGGCUGAAAAGAUGGCUCAGUGUUGAAGAAUGUGCAUUGAUCUAACAGACCUGAGUUCGGUUCCAAACACUCACCUUGGGCCUAUAACUCCAGCUCUGGUGGACCCACCGAUCUAGUGUCUAAGGGCACCUGCACUCACAUCCACAUAAUCAUUCACACUCACACAUGCAUGUAACUAAAAAUAAAAAAAAAAUAAGUAUAAACCAAGAUGGAUGCUGCCUGAUGCUACUUCUCAAUAUUAAAAUUGCACUAAUGUGAGAUUAUAAUAAUCUACUUUUUGUGUGUGUGCCAUACAGGAACUCAAAUCUAUCUUCUCCUUAAAGUUGGAUAUGCAUUCUAUCACAGAGGGAUACUUUCAGCCCCUUAUGAACUACUUUUAAUUCAAGUUUUACCACGCUGUACAAAGGACUCAUCAUUUGAAAUUAAACAGAAGCUAAUGUUUACAUUUGCAAACACUAUCACAGUACUUAGUGGUAAAUUGGUCUACAAUAUAUACUCCCAGAAUCUACAGGUACUAAGUUAAACCAAACCUUUCAAAGAUAAUUUAUAUCUCUUAAAAACAACUAGGCAAAGGGGGUUGGGGAUUUAGGUAAGUAGUAGAGUGCUUGGCUAGCAAGCACAAGGCCCUGGGUUCAGUUCUCAGCUCCUGGGGGGCGGGGGGCGGGGACUAGGCAAAGUGAUUCUGAUUCAGCAAAAUAAAUAUACACGUGGAUGUUGUUUGGGAAAAAUAGAAUGAAAACAUGUUCAAAGUCGUGUCUAAUUGCUCAGUUUUGUUAAUUAAGAUUGUUACAGUUCUAUUACUACAAUUAACAUUCGUAUAGUACUUUAUAUCAGUCUAAACACACUGACUUUCCUAUGUGAUCCUUGCAACAAUUGUGUGAGAUGGGCAGGUCUGUUAUUGCACAAGCUUCUCAGUAACAGGCUUUUAGAGACAGCAGAGUCCUUACAGCAUGUCUUCAUUUUAUAGUAAUGGAAUUGGUAUGUCCUAUGACUUAGAUGUCACAGAAAGGGACUGAUGCUUGCAACAAAAAGGGUAUUUGAGGCCCUUUAAAAGUGUUGUUUCAUCUUUUGGAAUAGCAUGACUAUCUCCUUAAUUUUGACUAGCUAAUUAACUGGUUUGAUAUCUUCUCUGGGCCUCACUUGUCUGUGUGUAUAAGAAUGUUUCACUCACAGGAUGUUGAAAGAGUACUAUCUAGUUAUGGAUGCAUGUAGUCAUCCUCUCUUAUUUGACCCUGUAAUAUCCCCACUACUCGAGAAGAACAGGCAGCCAGAGAAUAGAUCAUUUCCUACAUCCGUACAGUGUAUUCUGUCCUAAUUGUAUGAUUUUUUUUGUCUCCUGGCCAGACAAGACAUUCUGCCAGCUCUCCAUCACCCUUUAAAUGGUACCUCCCACUGUUCUGCAGCACAUUCUGAGCUCCAGGCAAACCACCCUCCUUGCAUCUUUUUCUAAAUUGUCAUUUUCUAAAUAGUUUAUACCUUGUUCAUGCAACAAUAUUUCUUGGAGAAAAAAUUAGUCUUUCUUGGGAUUUACAAAUGACUCGGUGGUUUACUAUUUACCUCCCGGUGUGAAUGAGGUUCUCGGUUCACUCCCAAGUUCUUCCACCACCAAAAAGGAAAAAGAAAGAAAGAAAAAAAGGCAGGCUUUUUUAAAUUCUAUCUGCCCUUCUCCUAUCUAAAUAAUUAUAAAACUAAAAUCAACUAAUGUUAGAAGCAAGUUAUUUCAGUCUUGAAAUCUGAUAAAGAAACAUGGUUUGAUAUUUCUUAUUUAAUGACCUAAAGGAGAAAUAAUGUGAUUUGUCAUAAGGCAUACACGAGAUAAAGGAAGAUUUUAUAGAAGGAGAAAUCUGCCACCAUCCAAUGAAAUGGCCUUCACUAUAAGCUGUAAGUCAGGAAAGCACCAGAGCUUAGAAACAAGGAAAAAGAUUGGCCAUCCAUAUUCAUGCCUGGGUACAGAACUUUUGGCAGGAUGCUCUUGAACAGGUCAGAACUUAAGAGGUAAAGUGUUUCGCCAACCGUGGGUCAGCUUCAUACCAGAUGACUUCUGCUGAGGAUGCUUUAUUCAUCUAAUUCCCUGGAAGCCAUAGGCUCUCAAGAUCAAACUCUGAAUAGCCUUGUAGAUAGAAAGGCCUUAAGGGAAGAAAUCUAGGUAGAAUUCAUCGAUCAAAGCUGAGGAGGAUGGUAUGGCUUUUCCCAAAUCUUGACUGAGGUUUUAAUUUACAAAAUGAGCAACUUUAUUUUCUUUGACAUUAAUUAUUUAUCUACUUGAAUAUGCAUUAUUGUGUUGCUGAUUAAUAUUGAGGGUCUCACUCCUAACACCUACAUCAGAGUCACUCCUUGGAGUUGUCCUUAGGUUUGGCUCUACACGCUGAGACUAAUGAAGAUCAGUUGAUUGAACAGACCCUGAACAUAAAGAGAUGACAUUCUCCCUCUCAAAUAAAUAAUACUCAUGCUGUAUUUCCAGAUGCAUCUCUCUUGUGGUUUGGAGCAAAAUGUGCUGCAUGUAGUCUAUGUGCUGGAGGACUGGAAGCCAGUAGUAUCAUUGAGAGAUUUAGCAUCUUUAGGAUGUGGCUUUGAUGGGAGCAAAGAGGCAAAUCCUUGUAGUCCUGGCCCUUCUUCAUCUCUACUUCCCAGCCUCCAGAGGGCAGUAUAUCCUCCUCACUAUUUUACUGCCUCACCACAGGCCAGAAGACAACAAUGCAAACUUUCAGCUGAAAUUUCUAAAACCAAGAGCCAAAAACAAUCGUUUCUCCCUACAACCUGUCAAGUAUAUUCUCACCGUAACACAAAGUUAACUAACACAACCACAAAUGUAAUGUUGUUGUGUGACAUUGACAUGUGAAAAAAAAUCUGCUUGAGGAUUGCACAAAUGGAAGAUCCAUCAAAUUAUUCCACCCUAGUAUAGCUCAAAGAACCAAGAAGUUUACUGGGUUACUUGCAGAAGCAUAAAUAAGUGCUUACUUGCAACAGCAUGGGUAACUCAAAGGUAUCAGCAUCAGUGAAAAACCUAGUGUAUUGGUCAACUCAUGAAAGCUGCACUAUUGGGACUUCAGACAUCAUUUAUAGGCAGCUCAGCUGUACAGUCUCUGUCUUUUUCUUCUCAGCAAUUACGUACUGCUUUUAUAACGUUGCUUUAUUUUUUUUUUCAGUUUUAGGAGCCUCCCUCCCCACUCUAAAGGGGGUGGAAAUGUUUCACAUCACGGGUACUAGCUACACAAUAGAUGUGUGUUCUCAGUCUUUACUCAUCUGCCCACUUCCAUGCUCCUGUCACUAUUUACUAUCUAGUGUGAGGCUUCAUAUACUGUUCUGUUAUGUAUGCUUCUUUGUCUGCUGUCAUUACUUGAUUGAUUCUGAACUCCUUGGAUAGUAUGACUAAGAAUGGCUGGAAAGAAGCUGUUUCUAACUUCAAUGAUGUUAAGAGUUUUGAAUGCUGCAUGUCCAGAUCUAUGUUAUCUUGGGGCAUCUUAAUCUCAAUUAAUAUACAUUCACUGGCCUCCUGCACAUAUGUUCAUUUUUUGUGCCUAUUAGAUAAUCUUAGACUUUGUGAACAGACCCCUAGUAUUCGACAACCAAAGAGCUAAGUAAGAAUGCUAUAAGACAGCAUCCAAGUCUUAGAGCCAAGUAUUUCCUGCUUUGCUGUAAUUUACCUGCCUAAUAUACACACCAACAUGCUUGAAAACUGUAUUAUAUUAUAACUUUCUUUUUUCUAUUACUAUAAAAGUCUCAUGAAACUGCUGCCUCAGUGAAACAUGUUCACUCAUAUAUGGCUCAUUUUAUCCCUUUGAGGUGAGAGCUGUUUCUUUCUUGGACAGCAAGGAGGAGUCUAUUAUUCAUAUCUGUGAUUUCUAAACUUAGCUUAAAGCCCGAUCUAUAGUCCGUGUUUAGCGAUCAUAUUAUCUAAGAUGAUCAACAAGUGAAUAUGGCUGCAGAAGUAACUAUGGCAUUAUUUUCAGCAGCUAACUAGACAUAGACCCAGAUUUGGACUUAGAAAAUCAGAUGGUCCAACAGAUCAGUGUAGGGAGCUCAAGGAGAUAACAGAUUUCACUGGGAAGAGAGAGAGAAAAACAUGGUUAAAACAAAGCAAACCCAGGAAACUCCAUCUCCUUGGACAAAAAUAAAACAGUCAAGAAAGCAGAACUAAAGGCUGGAUAAUCAAAAUGAUAUAAAGCUAUGUCUGACUGACACAAUUAGUGUGAACAUAGGAAGACAGGUUAGAUCGCUGAUGGUGAUACAUGAUCAUAAUAAGUAUCACUCAUAGCAAUCAUAAUUACAAUGGCAAUGAGUAUUAAUGAGUGUACCUCUGCCUCUUAGCAGCUCAUAAUUUAAUACCUGAGUGUUUAUAAAGCAAUGUCCCUUUCAGGAAGCAAAUGACCCCCCACCAGGCCAACUUUACUGUCCCCAUUACUAUUAUACCCUCAGACAUGCCGCUCCAUGCCCAAAGACAAAGCUUUAAAAUAGAUUCCCACUAUCCAGAGCUGAGAUUUUCCUUUAAGAGCAGAAAAUGUAUUUUGUCUAUUUGUCUCUGAAUCCCCAGGAGCACAGAAGAAAUGCUCAAUAAAUUUUUAUUGAUUUAUUAUCUUAUAUUUCCCCACAGUGAGCUGCAAGAUAAAUAGGUCUGUACCCCCAUUUUUUAGGUGAGGAAACCAGAGACACCUGGUCAGAGUAGAAAUUGGCUAACGAAUUUCCAAUAUUUUAGCACCUUAGUUUCUGCUGUAGUGCUUGUCCCCUGCCCAGAGAGACCAAGACUGACAAGGUCGCAUUGCUUAUUAAUUAUUCUGUUUCUGUAUGGAAUUCUAAGAAACACAUUACUUUCCUUCAUAUUCAGAUGGAGAACCAAAGAAGUUUGCUGGCAAAGUGCCUACUUCUCUUGCUUUGCAGGGAUCAAGGGCAAAGCUGCACACUUGGGAGUCAACCUUGAGCACCUAAAGCACUCUUUCUAAUGAUGACGUGGAGAAUAGGAAAAGCAUUAUGCAUCUGGAUGUGAAAAUCCGUGUGUAUUCUAGGGGAGAUGGAAUCAGUGCAUUUCUGAUUAAUUUGCACUUAAAUCAAUGAAGUGUUUAGCAAAAGAUAUUUGAUGUUCAAGAAGCCUUUUAGAGGAGUCUGAAGGGAUUUUAUAGUUGCUUUUUUGUCUUAAGAAGGGAAUUUUUCUUUUCCAUGAUCUUAUACACAAAUGACUUAAUUUCAAAGUUUCAUUUCCGAGAAUAAUCUUAUUACUUUCAAAAUCUUUCUACUUAGACAUAUUUAGAGGUAAUUAAUUUGUAUUUUAUCAUUACGUCACUUGAUUGUGUCAUCAUCUAUCUAUUAUCUACCAUCUACUUAUCUAUCAUGUAUCUGUCUAAUCUAUCCAUCUAUCAUCAUCAUCUAUAUCUUUCUAUGUAUCAUCUAUUCAUCCAUCCAUCUAUCAUCUUUCUAUCUAUCAUCUAUCUGCCUUAGAUCUAAAACAACUUUGAUACUCAAGAGCCUACAAGAUCCCAUAUUCUGAGUAAACAUGAAUGACUUUGGCCUGGGAAUAUGAAUUCUGCUGACCUUGAAUGGUAUAUGCACUUUUACCGGCACAGAAAAAUCAUAAAUUAGUGCAUUUGUCAAAUACAUCAACAAUGACAGCAAGUCAGCAGAUUACAAUAGAGCAGGUGUUAUUGCCUGAUUUGGGGAGUCUGUGCUUACUCCUAAGAGUUUUAGAUUCUUCUACCUCCAAACAAAGAAUUGAGCAGAGAUACACAAUGGCAGCAGAAGCAGAAACAGUUCAAGAGGCAAUUCACUUCACACGGCAGGAAAGUAGCCAGAGGAGAGAGACAGGAAAGCUUAGUAGCCCCACUGCAUACAGGAUCACUGCUUUCAAGAAACUUUAGAGUGGUGACACAGCUUAUUUGCAUUGCAAGGGUUUAUCUACUCAUUUAAGGAUUCUUCCUAGUAUAUGUAUUCCUAAAAGCACAUUCUUGUGGCACAUGCAUUAACUCAAAGAUGUGUGGUCUUGUAUUAUAGUGAGCUACAUGGUACUUCUGGACACUCUGGGUUUUAGAUGGCCUCACUAGGGUGUUCAGUCAACUCUCUUUUCUAAUAUGCCAAUUUGACAAUGUUUUUAUUAUACUUUCUGGACUUCAUUCUCCACCCAUCCCAUGCCUUACAGGGAUCUUUAUUCUAUUACUUUCAAAUGUUAGAACACUCUUGGCUAUAGAGAGAUAGAGUAUAUAAUACAUUUCAAAAGAUUUGUCUAACAGUUAAAAGAAUAUAAGUUAAGAUACAAAAGUUGGAAGUAAAUAGUUAUGAAGGGGACUAAAGUUAGUCCAAAAUAAUUUGACCUUCAAUCUGCAGCAUUUAAUUAAUUCACAGUCAUGAAGUCAUUCUAUCAGUGUUCAGGAACUGUAAGGCACAUGUCUUAAAGUUUCUUCAAGAACCUUAGUUUACUCCACCCAUGUGUCAUCUAUAUGCCUGCCUGCCUGUCUGUCUGUCUGUCUAUCUGUUUAUCUAUCUAUCUAUCUAUCUAUCUAUCUACCUACCUACCUACCUACCUAUUUAUCCAUCUAUAUCUAUUCCUUUUGCUAAUGGAAUUCACAUAAUGAUAAGCAGAUUUAAGAACUUUAUCAAAAUAUUGGUUAUUAUUUCCUAAGAAUAUCAAUAAACUCAGAGUUCAGGCAAAGCUUGAAUUCUAUAAGAUAUGCUUCCUGUGUGAAGAAGGAAGACACAAAGUAGAGCAAUGGAGGCUUAAGUGGAUGGAGACUUCUUCAUGUUUGUAGUAUAGAUUAAAUAGGAAGGUAAGUGUGCUGAGAGUAAAUGAUAAUUUGAGUUAACUGAGAAAUCCAAUGCUAGUGUUUUGCAUGACAUCAUUCUGUUUAUCCCACACAAAGAUUUGGAGAUGCAGGUGUAAUCACCUGCCUUUUGCAGAGCAAGAAUGUGAUAUACAAGGAUUUCCUCAAAUCCUACAUCUGUUCGGAAACUACUGUCUUUUCGAUCUAUGGUUUGUGUCUGACCCAAAGUUCUUAGAAGAGCCCAACAUCUGGCGUAAGGCAAGUAGUAUCCCUGGUGCUAUGAUUUCUGGUGUGGCACAGAUCCUAGCUCCAUGAAAUAAGUAGGUGAUAAAUUACUCUCUUUCAAUUAUCUUUCUAAUUUUUGUCAAGAGAGAACAUUUCUAUUCCUGCCUGUGCUGAUGCCAGUAACAAGCAGAAUGCUGCUGACUUGUCAUCAGAGCCUUAAGCAGACUCCAAGUGUCUUGUUUAAAUCUAAGAACAAUGUUUUGCAUUCAUUCAGUUUAUUUCCAAGUUUACCUUGUAGUGUGGUAAGUAAAAAUAACAUUCCUUUUUCUAGGUAUGGAUAUAAGGUUUCCUUUUAAACAAAUGUUUAUUUUGCAUUUUGAAGAAGGGAGUUGAUUAAAAUAUUAUAUCACACAGAUGGUGCACAGACAAAAAGAAAAGCAAUGUGACUAUAUGCGUGACUACAGCUUGCAGAACAAAAACACUAUAUUAAAUCAACAUCCUUUCAAAGAGCCAUCACCAAGUAAAUUGUCUUUUUUAAUUUGGGAAGUGUAUUUUAAUUUCGGAAGUAUACACAUAUAAAGCAUUAUUUCUGGAUUUUAAAUUUUUAUUCAAUUUCAAAUGUUCCAGAUAUCUCUACUUUGAUUUCUUAUAAAGUAUUAACAGCAAUAAUCAUUAUCUUCAGUUAAUAUCCUAGAUAUAGACUUAAGGAAACACGACUGCCUUUCUCUUUUCAGAGACAGAAGUAAAUAAAGGAAGUAAAUCUUCCCAGCGUACAACUUUUGGGCAGGGUAUGUGGAAACAAGCAAAAAUAAACUUCCAUUUUUUUCUGCCUAUUUUAUUUGGUUUAUCACCCAGUUUCAUUUGGGGAGACAUUGUGGUCCUCUUCAGUGGAAGUUUAUUUUUAUAUGUUUUUCCUUGCCAUUGCAAAGGGAAGUCGACAUAUUGCUCAUACAGUGUUAAAGUCUUUAUGAACUGCUGAUGGAUAUCCAGGAAAUGCUCUGAGGAGUAGGAGGUGAUAUUGUGGAAAAUAUCCACUUCCUCUAAAUAUUACCUCCAGUUGCUUUGUAGCAAAUAUUGCUGAGGAAAGAGACUAUAAAUCACUGAAGUCCUGAGGGCUUAGUGGUGAAGGACCGUUUAUGUUUUCCUUUGGUUUGAAUUACUGACCAAGACUAUUGAAUGAGGAAAAGAAACAUUUUACAAAGAAAAGUGAAGAGAGGAGAUGAGGAGAAAGAAGAAGAGGGGGAGGGAGAGAAGAUGUGUGAAAAGAGAGAUAGAGAAGAAGCAGAUGGAAAUGCUAAGCAUCCUGUGCUGUGAAAGAGUCUGGUCCUUUUUGUUGUUUUGUUUUGAGAUGAGGUCCCAACACAUCUACCAGGAUUGUGAUUACCAGGUGGAUUCCACAAGGCCUGGUUUGCCUAUUUUUUUUUUCUGUAAUUCAUGUCUUGCAGUGGUGUAUGCAGACCGUUUAGGUAAGGAUACUCAUAAUUAGAUACAAGCCAACACCAUUUCUAAAGUUCCGAUCAAGGCCAAGCAUGCAAUUGCACAGUUUUGGAAAGCAUUUGGGGAACAUAUAUGUUGUAUACAGAAAAUCUGGAACAUAUUCUGUGUCCUACCCUUUAGUAGAUACAGGAUCUUUAAAAAUGACUAUAGCUGUAGUUACCUUAUUGUUUUGUUUCUUGAAAACCUGUAGCAGGCCCCUUCCCACUCUUUAUUUCUACCUGCCCUGGUAAAUUUGUUCAUAUUGCCUGAAUCAGUCAAGAUGGAAAUACAAAUUUAUUACUGUUGCCUUUUGUCAAUAUCAUUUUGACUAUACAACACUCCCCCCGCCCCGCCCAUUUUCAUUUCUACUACCUCUCAGUAAAAGCAGGAAAAUAUGGUUUCCCCUUCAUGAACCUUUAUCUCACCUCUCUCAUUAGAUCAGAGUAAAAUUCUAAUAACAUGAACUGUAUGUGAGGAAAUGCUGCUAAUUAUAGACACAUACAGCAUUAAGCUUAUUUAUAUUAAUGAAUAAAUCAAAAGACAAGAAAAAUCAUCCUUCUAUUUUUAUUGUUUUCUGAAAUUUUAAGUCCGAUCGUUGUCAUUCUGUGUAUGAUAUGAGAAAUAGAAAUGGUGGGUGCAAUUUGCAUGUGUGAGGUUAGGAUCUCUUGUAGCAGGCAACCUUGUCUAGCUUGUCAUUACCUUUGAACACUCACUGUAAGUGUAUCUCAUUAAGUGCUAAGGCAUUAUGUUGAGUCCGUAGCCAUGACAGUGUUGAGUUUGAUUAAUCCGUGAGAAAUCAGUGUCUUAUUAACGUAUAAACAAGUGCAUAUACAAAUACAUCUGCAAGACGACCCAGUUUUCAUCCACAUGCAUUAAACCUCAUGUUGUUUCCUACUUAGGACCAGGUGCAGAUAAUUAAAAGAUGAAUGAGAUAAGAUGCCCUCAAAAUCUCAGUCAAGUAGCAGAGACAGACAAUGUGAAGACAUAAUUUGGGUAUAAGGACAGCUCUCAAGUGCUGCAGCAGAAAGGGAUGAUGAAAACGCAAAGGCUUAGGCAUCUGAGGACAUCCUUGGAGAUAUCACUUCACUUCUCUGAAUAUCUUUUUGACUGUCUAACCUUGGGAGCCUCUUAGCUACUCUGGGAAGUAGCUGGGUGUGACUGAAGUGAGGAUACACAGCAGGAUCCAAGAAGAGUAGCAGACUAUGUGCCAUGAUAGCUGAAAAGGCAAGCCCAGAAGAGCCUUAUCAUUAAGGCUGAAAACCUUGGGCAUCCUUCUGUUAAUCCUUUACAAUGCUGAGAACUAUAUAACAAGUGUAUCUAUUACAGCUUCAUGACAGCUGUACUCAAACAGAGUGCUAGAAUUUGGGUGAAAUUUUGCCAGAAUAUGGAGCAAUAGGAGGAAGAAAUACCAGUUACAAAGUAAUUGCAAACUUAAAAGUAAAACAAACAAAAAAAAAAUGCAAGAACGCUGUUCUUGGUGAUUUAACUCCACUCCAACUGCUCAACUGCUCAGGAACCUCCAAGGUAUAAACACUCUCAAGGUCUGUGUUUGCAAAUGAGAAGUGUGAGGUAGGGAGAGCUUAAAUAUCUUGUCCAGCAUCACAUCACUAGCCAUAGUAUUAUAUUGUGACACCUCAGGAAAGAGAAUUGAGGGCUGAAACCAGGCUGACUCUUAUGAUAGCAUACUUUUCUUUCUUGUUUUUAAAUUUAAAAGUGUUUUUUUUUUCAUUUUACAUAACAACCACAGUUCCCUCUCCCUUCCCUCCUCUCCCUUUUUUCUACCUUCCACCACCCCAACCCCCAGCCACUCCUCAGAGAGGAUAAGGCCUCCCAUGGGGAUUCAAUAAAGUCUGGCAUAUCAAGUUGAGGCAGGACCAAGCCCCUCCUCGAUGCAUCAAGGCUGAGCAAAGGGGAGUGGACUCCAAAAAGCCAGUUCACGCACUAGGGAUAAAUUAUCAUCCCACUGCCAGGGGCCGCACAAACAGACCAAGCCACACAACUGUCACCCACAUUCAGAGGGCCUAGUUCGAUCCCAUGCAGGCUCCCUAGCUGUCAGUCCAGAGUCCAUGAGCUCCCACUAGCUCAGGUCAGCUGUCUCUGUGGGUUUCUCCACCAUGAUCUUGACCUUCCCCCCACCUUGCUCAUAUCAAUCACCAUAGAUGGAGAAAACAAGAUAUUACAUGAUAGAAUACUUUUCAUUUGACUUGUUUUUUCCUUGGUGUUACUCUUUCAUUGCCAGUAGAUCCAAAACACAGCUUGAAUUCCUUGAAUCAUUAUUGUCUUGAUUUUAUAUUAAGAGUGCUUGCUUCAGUGUUCAGCAAAUAGCUCAAAUGUGUAUUCUAAUAUACCACAAUGUGGAGUAAGAAGCAUCAGUAAAUUCUGUGCCCAAGUGCUAGUGUGCAGUCCCACUGUGGCAUGUGAGCACAGUUGUUGUUAGACAGGCACAUGGUAGUAUCAGUUGCUCUUCUCUUCCCCUGUUUAAUGGUUUCAUUUCUUUGGCGAGACUACUUUCUUCAACGCUCCUUGCAGUUUUUGCAAAUGGUCAUCUUGUUUGACCUCUAAAACCUGCUUCUACAGCUUCCUCUGCUCUUGUAAGACAUCUUUGCUCUUCUUUCUCCACAGUGUCUUCACAUGGACUACUGUUCUUACAGCAUAAGCUCUUACCUUCUGGACACCUGGCAUUUGUCCUAUCACCCCUACUAAUGUGUCUAGUAAUGUGGGUACCAUAUCGUUUUUUAAGUGGUGUGGCCACAGAACGAGGACAUAGGAAAUGUCAUCAGAUAAUGUUCCAGUGAGACUUGGGGGCUCUAAUCCUCAUUUUCUAGCGGGGAUAAGCACCCACGGGAUUUAUGAUUUUGAUUUCACUACCUUCUGGAUCGUAUCCAAAGACAUCUCUCCAGUGUUGCUGCAGGAUCAGAGGUAUCUUUCAUUUGCACAGAAACUUUCUCCAAGGUGAGAUAAGGUCAGAACCUCAGGAGAGCUUAGCCCAGGGGGGCAUGUUGAUGGCUAUGGCGAUGUGAAUACCUCACUUUGACUCCUCCUGACCUCUUGUAUUUCCUGCUGUCUUUUCACAGCUAGUCCUGCACAGUCUAUUCUGAUACCCUGUGUCUUUUGAAUUGUUUUGCUUAGAAAGUGAAAUAAUUCAGCUUGUAUUCUCAUCUAAGGGAUGCAUAAGGCCUGGGGUGUUUCGGAGAAAUGCUUUGACUUAUGUUGUGGAAAUCCUGACCACAUUCAAAUGCCAACUUAUAUCAUCUCCUUUGUUUCAGGCAUGGAGCAAGAGUUCAAAGUAUUUACUCAGCCAGGAUGAGAUGAGUUAUAAAUUCUCAAUGGUGACAAAGAAGAAUAAAUGAGUUAAAGUAGCAAGUACAGUGGGACUUGUGUGUACCCAGAGCUCUUACCUGGGGCUCAGGGUAAGAUCCCCAUUGGUUCUGUCAUAAUGAGGAGAAGAUUGUCUUAGGCUUUUCGUGUGCAUACAUGUUGGGCUUGAACCCAGGCCCUUCCAAGUUCUAAUAUCUGCUAUAAAGUUACACGCUCAGACCGUCUUUGAGCUUUUGAAAUAACAUCUCAGUAGUUCCCUCGUCUGGCAUAGACCUACACAGCCUGUCCUGACUUUAGUCCUUGCAACUGUCCUUCCUCUGCCUCCUAGGGAGGUCUUAGAGGUGUGUGCCACCAUGCCUAGCUAUUUCAGUCUUUACUGCAGAUGCUCGUGUCUUUCUGUGAGUCCUUCUACUUGGUAGGCUUUCAAUCACUACCUAAACACUGGAAUUAUAUGAGAGCUGAAGUGGACCUUUAAGAUCUGUUCCGGUUUCAUUUGCUCUGCUUUGGUUUACUUUGUAUUCUAAAAUGGUAAAAAUAGUUCUGUAAUAAUGCGAAGCACCCUUUUUGGCAUGGUUUGAGCCAGUGGAGAUUUUCCUGGCUCCCAUCCUAGAUUUUUCAUUUAUUCACACUUCACCUUAAUGAUAAUUUUCUUGGUCUGUUAGCAUCAGUCAAGUUUUAUUAUUGUACAUGUUCUCCUAAGAUGCUGGACCUGCUUUCACAGCAUUUUUUCAUUACUUGUUAAUUUGGGGGUUAGUUGAUCUAUACUGCCUUCAUUUUCUUGACUGUCAGUGUUAUAACAUCUGACAACUUAUCUUUCAUCUUUGAAAAUAAGGACUUGUAAUAAUAGAGAGAAAAAUUAGUUUCUCAGUAUUAUUUCCUGACUAUAUGUGUGAAUACAUACUUUUCUCUCUUCUCCAAAUCUCAGUUUACAAAUUUGUAAAGUAGUAUAUCACUGUGUAAAAGCUUACAUUUUUAAUAAAUCAAGCAGUGUAUUCCUGAGGAAUGAGGGAUUUCUCAAUGGAAGUCCAUUAUGUUACCUCUAUGGAAAUUUUCCCUCUCAGCACUGAUUGUCUCUGAAUUAUUGUGCAGAUAAAGUAGAAACAAGUACUCUUGGAAUCUUACAAGCAAAAUGUAGAUGAUAACACCUAGUCUUACAAUGAUAUUCUUCCAGUUCAAGAUAUUUGGCUUUUAAUUUUUUAAUUAAAAAAAUUAUCUAUCUAUUUAUUUAUUUAAUUAAUUAAUUAAUUUUUAGUUUCUCAAGAAAGGGCUUUUCCAUGUAGUCCUGACUGUCCUGUAACUUGAUCUGUAGACCAGGCUGCUCUCAAACUCUGAGAUCCCAUUGCCUCUGCCUCUGUGUCCUGCUGUGGGAUGUCGUUCUACAUGCUGUGAAUAUGUGUAGCACUGAUUGUUUGAUAAAUAAAAUGCUAAUUGGCCAGUAGCCAGGCAGGAAGUGUAGGCAGGGCAAGCAGACAAGGAGAAUUCUGGGAAGAGGAAGGACUGAAUCAGGAGUCACCAGCCAGACACAGAGGAAGCAAGAUGUCAAGGCAGAACAGAGAAAAGGUAACAAGCUAACUAUAGGUAAGAGUUAUGGGUUAAUUUAAGUGUAAAAGCUAGUCAGUAAAAAGCCUGAGCUAAUGGCUGAGCAGUUAUAAUUAGUAUAAGCUUCUGAGUAAUUAUUUUAUAAGCAGGCCAUGGAACUGCAGGGGCUUGGCAGGAUUGGAAAAAUCUUCUAGCUACAGUCUCCUGAGUGCUGGGAUUAAAGGCAUAUGUCACCACCACCCAUCUUGGUUUCCUUUAUUCUUCAAUUAAACAAUGAACAUGAUUGUAGCAAUGCAACAAUAGCACAGUAAACUAUCUGUUCAUUAAUUUAUUUACUUUCAUUUUGUUUGUUUGUUUGUGGCACUGUGGGAUCUGAUGCAAGGGCUUAGGCAUUUUAGGCAUGUACUUUCCUCACUGCAUUGUGUUCAUUUCUUUUAUUAAAAAGGAAAGUGAGUAAAUUUGAAUAUUGAUUUAUCUACCAUAGAUUAAGAACAACAAAAAAAUUUUACCCCUCACAUGGCCCCUAUAUAUAGGAGUCACACUUAAAGGUUUUAUUUUUUUCCAACAUCCCUAAAUUUAUGGGUUUUAUCUGCUGUCACAAGACAGGGUUUUAAAUUAAUUUCAACUUCAUGUUACAAGAUGCAAUGUAACUUACUGAUAUUCUCUUCUUUGUGAAAAUUAAACAUUACUUUGUGCUUUUAAUAAGUUCAUGUUUUUCUUUUUAAUAGAUUUUAAUUACUUUUUACUUAUCUGUUGGGGUUUGCAUACCAUGGUGAAUACGUGGAAAUCAGAGGAUAGCUAGUAGACGUUGGUUCUAUAUUUCUACCUCUUGAGCCUUGGGGAUCCAACUUGCAUCAGGUUUGGCAGAAAAUACCUGUAUGCACUGAGUCAUCUUACCACACUUACAGCCUGAACCAUCUUGUCAGCCCUGCCUUUCCACUAAGAAAAUUAGCUGUUGACCUUGAUAUUGUUUUUAAAAUCAUCAUAAACUGUUAUACAAAUAAACAUCAAUAUCUAGUUAUUUUCACAAUAAAUAAAAUUUACUUGAGGAAAAAUUUAAAACAUACAGACUAUCCCCUUUUAAUGGCUCUGGGAGGCUUUAAAGCAUCUUUUAUUUUCCUUGUGAAAGUUUUAGCAAACAUUUCAUCCCUAAACAUGUCAUCAAAUCACUGAAAUGUGACUGUAAAGAAACAAACAGUCAGAAUAAAAUAAGAGCUUUGACAACAAUAAGGCACUUAGUAUUUUAGUUUGGAUAAAGAAUGGUUAAAGUAUUGUGCUUUAGUACUUUAUUAUUAAGAAUAGUUUUUAAAGUGAAGAAAACAUUGAAUAAUUUAAGCAACACAUAAAUAAAUUUACUGUUAUCUAGUCAAGUCUGAGAUGAUAUAUUUAUUCUUUGAAGGGAAGCUUGGUUAGUCAACUGGUCUGCACCAAUGGCAGAAAAGAGGUAGAGUAUGCUUAGGGUAUUUAUUAUAAAAUAUUGGCAGUAACUCUAACCCAUUGCUUCUUGACAGGAAAUGAUCUCUAAUCAGUUUAUUUAUGAUCCAAAACAAAACAACAAAACACUCUUAUUAAGAUAGACUUGUGAAAAUUAGGACAAAUUCACUUUAAUCUUGAAGGGUAGUGAUACACCCUUAAUUUAAUUUAUGUAAUGAAGUCAUUACAUUAGACCUAAGAUUGGGCUAAAUUAUUAUGUGUCAGAAAAAUGAGAUUCAUGAAAGAAUACAAAAAUGAAAAUAGUGAAUGAAUGUUUUCUCCUAUGGGUAGUCUACAUGGAACUAGAGAAAUAUGCAUUCAAGUGUGUGUCUUUUGAUUUCAAAUGAAAGCAGACAGACUUUUUGUUGAGGGGAGGGAGGAAGGAAGGUGGGAGGGAGAGAUGGGAAGAAAAGUGUGGUUAAAAAUAGCAAAAUACAAUACAUGUAUAAAAAUGUCAUAAGGAAACCCAUUGCUUUGCAUACUCACUAAAAAUUAAUACCAAAGAGAAAAAUCACACAGAUCUAUUUUGUUUUGUGAGACUCUGUUCAGUAUAGGCAGCUUCUCUGCAGCCUUCACUGAAAAGAAGCGUUCCUUUUGUUACACGUGUCUUAUAGUUAAAGUUAAAUUUUAAGCAUAUAAAGGCAAAUUUUCUGUGCUAAAGUUGUCCCCCCACUGAUCUGCCUAAUCCCUACAUCUUCAGAGUUUUAAAACAAAUCCUGGGGUUCUAAGAUAAUACUUAGGGGAGGGAAGGCAAGGCAGGGUCUUCCUGCAUAAGGUGCAUGCAGUGGGAAAGAAGUUUGCACAGAAUGCUUGUGACCUAGAGAUGAGAGGAUUAAAUAUUAUUUAAAAAGUAAGGGCUUCGUCCUAUAAGUCAGAACAUUUAUUGAGACAAACAUGAAUCUAGAUGUUUUAUAUGUAAAGUGCAUUUUAGUCUGUAACACUAAAUCCACUAAAGACAUAGCAUGAUUUCUAUCUUAGUGGGUAAAACCUGGUAUAAAUUUCUGAAUUCUUCAAAGAAACAGAGCAAGCAAGCAGUGUGUGUGUGUGUGUGUGUGUGUGUACAGACAAAAUUCUAUGUGUAAAGAAUAUAUAUUCUCUAUAUCCUUUAAAAAUUUUAUUUUAAGGAUUGGGUCACAGCAUCUUUAAGGAUUGCCAAUUAAAAAUAAUUGAAGAAGCAUACUGUGGCAAAUUGAAGACUUGAGAAAGAGUUUGGUUGAGUCCACAGUUUUAAUUUCUUACAAAGUCUGUAUUUUGUGAUGGCCUUCACCUGACGGAAUGAGGCCCACACACAUUGAGGAGUACAGCCAGUUUUAGUUAAAAUUGUUGAUGUAAAUGUCAUUUAUAUCAAAAAAUUCUGCUUCUGAAAACCCAUAAUAUUGAAUAGAAGAGCUGUAUAUCAUGACCUAAGGUGUUAAUACACAGAUUACCCACUGCCUAAAUGUUUUCCUAUGGAAGUCCAUGAAAAGAAAAGGUAGGGGGAGGGGGAGUCAUGGUGGUAGACAUACUAAAGUUAUCUGUCAUUUUAAAUGAAAGAGAAUCUAUACAUAUACAUAUAUUCAUAUAACAACAGUUAAUUUAAAAAGAGUACACAAAUUUUCAAAAGAGCAAGUAGGAGUACAUAGAAGGGUUUAUAGGGAGUAAAGGGAAGGGGGAAUUGAUGUGCUUAUAUUAUAAUCUCAAAAAAAUAAAAGAAAUACUUUAAAAAAACAGGUCAUUUCAGAGACUAUCUAGAUGUUUUCUAGUUUCACAGAAAGAUUCUUCAGUUCAAAACUAGUUUUCUUUCUUAAGUACAAGAGAAUGUGAAGCAUAUUUAUAGUGAGAUGGAUAGACCACCACUAUGCUUAUACUGGGUUAUAGAUUAUUAGAUUUCCAAUGCUGGGGAUCUAACACAGGGCCUAAGACAUGGUUUGCAAGCCAAUAAUUGAUAAAGCUCAGCCUCUUAACUUUCAGUUAUAAUUGCAAUAAUUAAAAUGAUAUUUUAUGACUUUUUUGUGUUUGUUUGCUUGUUUUUUUGCUUUUAUUUAUCUAUUCAUUCAUCAUUUUAUUUAUUUAUUUAUUUGUUUGUUUGUUUAUUUAUUUAUUUGUUUGUUUGUUUAUUGAGCUCUGGGACCCAAUAUUAACUUGAAAAAUCUAUUACUAGAAAAGAAGCAUUUGUGUUUCUGGAGACAAAAUGAAAAGGGUAAGUCACUGGGACGGAUUACUCGGUUCUUGAAACAAGGUUAUUGAUUAUGGAACUACCAAGCACAAGUAAAGCCACCGCACUGAGGAAGCACACCCUAAGGGAACAGUGACAGAGCAUCUUACAACAGGUGCUGUUGGAAGAACCUUAACCGCUGAACAAAUUCUCAUGGGUGCCAACACAGUUCCCGUGGCUGGGGCCACAGAUACCUGAUGGUAGCCUAGGCUAGCAACUGUGCUGCAAGGAGAAAAACAUACAUCAGACUGCACCAUGGAACAGAGGAGUGAAAACAGCAGUGGUCUGUGCGGAUGCCAAAGCAGCAUAGAAAGGAGACGCGAGAUUCUAGGGCAGUCUUUCAUCCCGGUCCUAGCUGACUUCUCACAUUAGCAAAAAAAGCAAGAAAUCUAGCAAUUAAUAAUGGCCUUUCUCACUUCCCAGUCACUUUCUAGGGAUCUCAACAUAAAUCUCAUCUACAAGGAAAUGACAUAUAUUUAAAAUCUUCCUGAAACCCUAGGGGGUUAUGACUUUAUUAUAUCACAUUAUAAUUCUAUCUAAGACAUUUCUGGAGUCACCUUCCUAUAUUCUCAGUUAACAAAACAGAAAAAAAAAAAGGAAAUGGGGGUUUCUUAGUAAAUUUUCAAGAUGUAACUUGAGAACUCCCAAAAUGGCACAAAUGGCUAACACUAAGGCCCUUGUUUGUGGCCCUUCCUGAGGAGCCAAUACUUACACUUUGGUAUUUCUUACUCUCUGAUACUUUCUCUUAGAGAACCCCACAUCCAUUCUCUCUGUGUGCUCUAUUUUCUGUUUGAACGUUUCUCUUUAUCUCUUAACCUUCAUGAUUAAGUCCACAAAAAUCUACAUAAAAAUGUCUUCAAUGAAAUCUCCAACUCCCUUCAUCAUGUGGAAAUUCAUUUUAGAAUCAAUCCCUUUUUGAUAAUCCCCUUUUGGCCUGAGUUAAGGUCCCUCAAGGUAAUGAGGGUGACAAUGUGAGUCAGUACCUAUCCUCCACCAACCAUGAUUCUGGAAUACUCUCUCCAUCCAUGCUCACAGCUCCUUUUGGGGAGACUGUGAACUCUUUAAGCCCUUUAGGGCUCUCAAAUAUUCUUUUAGCUCUAUCUACAGAGAGAGGUCUGCUAAAGCUGACAGACCACAGAUACGUUCUACCAAUUCAGCACACAUCCAAUUCAAAUAAUUUUGGGGAAAUAUGAGAUCCAAAUUACUCUAUAAGUAACAUAAGGUCCCUAUGAUAUGUGGCAUCAUUUUUUUUCAAGCAAAAUAAUUUGCAAGAUUUAUUUCCUUUUCAUUUUAGAGACAACUAGUAGACACCUAGAGGCAAUAUGCUGGAAUGCCUCAAAAAGCAGUUAAACAGUGUAGGCUUAGGUUCACAUAGAUUUUAGCUUCUUAGUAACUUGAUCAGCUUCAUUGAAAAUAACCUAAAGCUAUUAACAAGUUUGAAAACAUGACUUUGUUAUGAUCAAAAGUAUUGCUUAUCAUGAAAAGAUUUUAUUCUUUGUUAUCAUAUCAUUUUAUUACCACAAGUCUCAGUUUUCCUAUAAUCACACCAUAAUAUCAUAAAUGUAUAGGAAUGCUGGUUGAUGUCUCCAAUGAUGUGUUUAGUAGACAGAGAAGACCUCCAUAAAUUCUAGGCCUACAUGAUCUGAAGAGCUUCUUCUAGGCUGCCCAUGUCUACAGAGAUCCCAUCUCUAAUUAGAACUUAACUUCAACAUGAACUUUCAUCAGGACACUUUUCAGUUAUGUGAGAGAUAACUUCCUAUUCAUUUAUAGUCCAGGCAGCUAACUUUGGAAUUUUGUUCUCAAAGAGUGUAGAAUAAUCGGUAAUCAAGGCCAAGUAAAAUUCAGAAUUACUCUCAAAACUUCUAACAACACAUACACCUUAGAAGCAUAUGUAUUUUAACCUUCUAGUACAGACUCAUGGUUUGUUGUGAGCAUUUACUGAAGGGUUGAUGUCAAAAUAAUGAUAUGAAAAAUUUUACAGAGAGAAAUGAAAUUUCAUUAUAAUUAUAAAGAGAAGAGAUCCAUUCUUCAGACAGGGACAGCUUUUAUUUAUUUAUUUAUUUAUCUAUCUAUCUAUCUUUUGAGAAUUUAAUACAUGAGUACUGUAUUUACAUCAUUCCUCUGGUGGUUAUAUGUAUUUGUUUAUUUUUAGUUAAUUUUUUCAUGCAAUUGUUUUGUUUUCCCUUUCCCCAACUCUUCUCAUCACAUUUAUAUCCUGUUCUCUCCUCAACUCCCUUUAUUCCCUCUCAAAUUUAUGAUUUCUUCUUUAAUUUAACAUUAUACAGAUAGAUACAUAAAUUCAGACUGCUAAGUCACUUAAUCUUGCUGUAUUUGUAUUUUUUCACAAACAACCAGGUUGGAUCGAAUGACCCAUCUCAGGAUCAUUCCCAGAGAAAACAGAUUCUCUCUUUCUCAAUGACUUCCCAUGGGAGGCUUACCUUGUCGGAGGAUGGAAUAGGGGAUCCUACUCAGAAUAAUUCUUUGAAGUCCAGAUCUAGUCCUUCAGUGGGAGAUUACCAAAAGUCACCAUUAAUUCACCUAUGAAAGGAUUCACUGGAGUCAAGAUGGAGAUACUGCCCUAUGCUGUGAUUACUGCUAUCAACAGAAUAGUUCGAAGUCUUACCAACAAGAUUUGCACUUCAAAUAGAGUUAUAAAAUACUGCUUAUGCUAAAGCUGUUUUAGGGCUAUAACUUAUGGUGAUGAUACUCUGUAAGAAAACAAAAAUAAAUAAACAUAUGUAUGAAGAAGAGAAAACAUGGUAAAGGUUGAGAGCAUCAUAAAAUUGAAAGAAUCCUACCAAGCUUUUUCCUUCUCCUACACUUGAAAUACUUCUGUUUUCUUUCAUGAAAAAAGUAUCCUUCAUUCUCUUUUUUCAUUCUUCAAAAAAUUCUCUCACUUGGAUGGAUGAGAGGAUUCAGUUGGUAGAGGCACUUGUCAAUAAAUCUGAUGACCUGAAUUUGAUCCCUGGGACACCAAGGUGGACAAGACUGACUCCUAAAAGUUGAACUCUGACCUCUAUAUGCAUACUGUCACAUGCAUGUACCUGAAAAUACCCCCAUACACAUACAUGGAAUAAUUAAGAGAUAAUAACAUAUUUUAAAAGAGUCUUCUCUGAAAAAAAAAAUUGACAAACAGUGCUAUUAGGAACGAGCCCAGCAUUACUCUGCUACGGGACAGGCAAGAAUGUAGUGAUAGAAGUGAAUCUUUAAGUUUUGGGGGAAGAAGAAGAAAAGAGCAUAAGUGAGUUAAGUGUCUGUUGUGGGUCCAGACUGUUGCAAAAGGAUAGCUGAAAACACAGUUCCCUGUGAUGAGCUGUCAGAGAUCACCUUACUCACGAGUGAAUUUAAAAAGUUACCUAUCAUAUCCAUUCCUCAGGGUUUAUCUCGUGUCUACCAGAUAAUCAAGCAAACAGUUUUCUUUUAUAUAACCUAAGUUAAUCUCAAAGCUGAGCAUUUAACUUUUUAAAAGUAAAUUGAGAGCUGCUUGAGAUUUGGGAACAACUCCACAGAAAUCAUAGGGCUAUUACCUUGAUCAUUCAGGUCUAGACUCUGCCCUGUUGAUCUGCAACUACACUCUGAGGACCACUGCUGUAGAGAUGACAAUUCUUCCUGGGUACUUUUUAGAAAAGCAUCCUCUUCAGGUAUUUUAAGUGUGAUUGCUUUAGCAUCUUCAAGAUACUCCUAGGUAAACCUAAGGCCUUUGAUAUCUGUAAACGAAAAUAGACCUGAGCUUUACAUAAAAUAUGUCCAAUAACCAGACUACUCUUUCCCAUAUUUCAUUUACCUGGGGGCCAAACAAGUUGCUCAAUAAAAAGAAUUCAGGGCAGUUGCCGCAUUUUUUGGUAAACUUGCCUUAAGUCAUAUCAGUCACCUUGCAUUGAUUAUACAUUGCAUUUUAUCAUCCUGAACACACGAGUAGGUAUUCAGAGACAUGUAUGCUUUCAUAUUUGAGAUGACACUUGUAUGAGUUGUAUACUGAUGCCUAGUGUAUCCAGAGGAUAAAGAAUUGGACUAACAAGCCCACCCUUCUCAGAGGAGAAUAGUACUACAGCUUCAGAUAAAAGAUAGCACUUCAUGUUGUAUCUGGUACAGAAACAAAUAUUCUAAUAUACUCUAGUGGCCUUGAGAUAUCUGUACUUGACUGAAAUGUCUCAGAAAUGACUUAGGAGUAAUUACUACAUUGACAUAUGCAUGUAUGCAUAAGACAAUCAAAAAUUUCAGGACUUUUAUCUUCAAAAGUGCUUUGCAAAGGCAGAUGACAACCUUCUGCCACUGGUAUGGUCAUCCUGUUUUUCAUAUUUGGAUAGUCUGUGAUGUCCGUAGGACAGUGAUUCCACUUAGGAUUAAAAUGAGAUACCCCUCCAAAAGUGUGUUAAUACUGUUUUUUGCCUCUCUACAGUGCUGCAGAGCUCUACAUUAUGAUGCCUUAUCAAACUCCCCUUGUUUAUCUGCAAAAUAGCAAUAAUAAUAAUAAUUAUUAUCUUGUAGGACUAUCAUAAUGAUAAUGAUUCAAAAGGCUAUAUAAAUGCAUAAAUAACAUAGGCAUAAUAUAAGAUAGUUCAUAUGUAGAGUGUCAUAGACAAUAUCUGACACUCUUGGUGUGAAUUUGUUAAUUUACUGUAGAUAUCAUAGCUAUGUGCAAAAAACAUCUUCGUUUCAUACACAAAAUGUAGUAGAGAAAAUUUGCUAAUAGGUUAAGCCUACAUAUGGAGAGAAUCUUUUCUAAUGGCAUGGUUUCUCCUCCAAGUAUUGAGUUUUAUAGAUGAAAAUAACUUUUAUUUUAAGAAUGUGGGUGGGAAGUAUCAUAGAUUGAUUUAUUCAACAAGAGGCAUGAAGUGAACAAUCCAGAAGAGAGGAGCAUAGAUGGAGUUGUCAGCAACAGUUCCCCUUCUGAGAGACUCAUUUGCUAAUGUGAUAAUUGCUAUUUAUUUUAUAGGCUUGAGCAUGACAUAUUACCACUGAAACUACUUCUAAUUCUGCUUUUAUUAUUAACCUCACUUUUCAAUUCUUUAUCGACCUUGGGCAAGACUAUUUUCCUCUUCAUAGCAUCAAUAGAAAAGCUGGUUCAAGUUUGCUUUAAAAGAAAUUAAUCUCAAAGCUAUUACUACAUUUUAAAAGGACCUUGUAUGAGAAUGUUAAUAGCCGCUAUUAGACGUGGAGUCAGCCCUUCCCUAAGAGGAAAACAAAAGUGUGGGCUUAGUGUCAUUUGAUAAGAGAAAUAAAUAGUAUGGCUGUGUAGUGUGCUGCAGGCAGAGCAGUUUCAUGCAGACAAAGCCCUCAAAGGACUGAUAUCCCAGCUCACAAUAUUCUUCCUGGCUGAACUCGGGUAAGUUCCAGACCACUCAGACUCAGUUUUUCUGAAAAAUGUUAAAAACAACCCAUAUGGCAUGUCAGUUUUCUGUACCUCUUCUCUGAGGCUUAUUCAUAGAUGGAAGGAAAGAAGUAGGCAGGCAGUGAGAAGGCAAGAAGAGAGGAAUGGAGGGAUGGAAUAGAAAGUCAUAAAAGGAAGCAUGAAUGAGAGAGCCAGUCAGAAACAGAAAUCAAAAGAUGGCACCCAGAGUCUACGAACAGAAUAUUUUUCAAUGAGAACAUCAAAGUCUGGAUUCUUGUUUCUGACAAUGUCUUGUCCUCAUGUUUCCUGUUUUGAAGUCCAUCAUAUUUUUUUUAAUGUUUUUCCAGAGACAGGCAUGGAAAGAUGACAAAUGGGCAUUGAUUGAAUCCUUACAAUGUCUGAAGCAAGAAGUACAGUUACAGUUAAUCACCAUAAUAUCUUAUGAGUUAAGCAUUUUGAUUUUCAGUAUUGCAAAUUGCAACUCACUAUUUCAAUAGUUGAUGUGAACUCUUGGGUUGUAGGGUUUGUAGAAGUCAAAUUAAUAGGUAUAAAUCCAUUUGGAUUCAAUCUCUGCAUAGUAAAUGCUGUGAGAUUCUGUAUCUCAGUUCCCAGAAGUUUAGACCAUCUUCUUACUUGCCAUAAUGUCCCACACAGUUUGCCAGACAAGACCUUACAACUGGUCUAACUGGCUUAUGAAUGAAAUGCACCUUAUGCUCACACAGACUUCUUUCAAAAGGAACCACGUGCAGAAAGUGCAGAGCUCGAGUGACACCCUAGGCAAUUAAGAUCUCAAAGAACCUAGAAAGGAUGCAGAAGUUUUCAAAAAUAAUUUCCACUGUGGCAGAAAUGCAUAUUGAUUGAAGUUACAAUGUCACUCAGAAAGUUUGUAAGUCUUUUUAAGAAUGGCAUUAAGCAGUGACAGAUAAUUGACGGGGACAGACACUUCAACAGAGGUUGACAGAGGGACUGGAAUGCUUCAACAAGAGAAAAAAAUAAUCCAGCCAGAGACAGGCAUAAAGAGAGACUUCUUUUUCUAUUAUUUUCCUCUCUGUAUUCUCAAAUAUUGAUGUCAAUAUACUCAUUCCUUUUAGUUAGUUAAAACACAAAACACAAUUUAAUAUUUGUCUUUAAGAUCUCAAAUAGUAAUUACCAUAUUUUGAAUUUAAUAAAAACCACCUUAACUAAAUAAGAUACAGCUUAGAAAAUAGAACAUAUGGUGCCAUGUGCAAAAAAGAGCUGGGAACAUGGGGGAAAUGUAGUGACGGCUGCCUUUUUGUAUCUACAAAACCCACAAAAUAAAGAGCUUCAAGUUUUCUUUUAUUGAAAAGCUCAGAAGGAGGAAAAUUUCCAACCAAUUUCUAAUAAUACAAUGACAGGAAGUGAAAAGGGUUGUAGCCAGAUUUGAGUUAUAUCAUUUGAGUUAUAGAGCUGGAAAGAAAAGUCUACCUGUAAAUAUAAGCAUUAGAUCUGUAGCUCAUGUGGACAAAGGGGGUGCUUACCAUCUUACUUAGUGAGUGUCCAAUUCAAGACUGAAGAAUGCUCUACCUAAGAGGUAUUCCAUAAAAGAUAAUAUCCAUUUUCGUAGAAAAACAAUGCUUUUCUGACUAAUAUGAACUCUAUCAAUGAAUAAGAGUAACUGUUUAGAUAUAAACUAUGUAAAACUGAAUGUUGUGAUACAUGAAAUCUGCAUCAAUUUAAUGUAGCUGACUUUAGCUGAACACUUAGAAUGUGCUUAUAAUGCUGCUAGGACCAGGCAUGAAGAGACACCCUUACACUUAAUAACCUAUUCUGAAGACUUGAUCCACAAACUAUGAUCUCAUGAACCACAAAGAAAGACUCAUUCCUCUCUACCCAUAAUUAUGAAGAAAUGAGUAAAAUAAGGGCCUUCAGGUUAUACAAUGAUUGUUGAUGACCCUUCAAAGAUCUUUAAAGUAACAUAUGUUUAUGUGUAACAUAUAUAACAUAUAGCACAUAUGGAACAUGACAAAUUGAACAUAUGUUAAGUGUGACAUAGUGCAUGACACAUGGAACAGAUAUUCUAAAUGCAAGUUCUUGAUAUUUACUAGGACAAGAAGAACAAGGAUGUCCCAUGAGAAAGUGUUCAGUUCUUUCAUACCUUUGGCAUGUUGUUCCUUUAUUACUAAGCGACUGUAGACUGGAAGGUUAUCAGUUCCCUUGGAUGUUUUUUCUCUGCUUAUUGCUCAUUGCCAUGUUCAUGGGUAGUAUAAGUCUUUCUGAACCAGAGAAGACAUAUAUGCAAGCAUGAAUUGGUUGAGGCUGCACUUCACCAUACCUCUUACCCUUGAGAUAGACAAUAUUGUCAGCUUUUGGAAUCAGAUGUCAGGCUUCCAAACCUAGAUUUCCUAGUUGCUGUUUCUGUGACCUUAGAAAGGUUUUUCCUUUGGACCCGUUUCCUUAGUGGAUUAAUAAUGCUUCCCAGGGUGCCCUCUUUUUGAGUUUCCGUCUGAGAACAAUAUGAAACAUGGAAACUAAGCUAUUUUCUAAACCUAAAAAAGAUUAUAUGAUACAACAUACUGCUAUAUUAUUUGAGAAAGAAUAAAUUACACACUCGUCCAUAUAUGAACCAAAAUAGCAGUUACAAGGGAAAAGUAUUUUGCCAGAGAUUAGAAUGUCAGUUAGAGGCACAAUGUCCAGAUUUAGAAUGUAAUUUUUGCCCCUGUAUUUAUGGACCACCUUGUCAUCUCUAAAACAUAUGAAACAGAUCUUAAGUACCAUUUAUAUAUAAUUUACUAAAGAAAAUCUGAAUAUCUAUUGUUAGUUACUUUUGCAUUAUUUUGACCAAAAUAUUGGGCAGAAUCAACUUAAAGAAACAAAAGGUGGUUUUACCUUAUGAUUUUGAAGAAUAACAAUGUGUUACGAUGGAGAAGCCAUAGUGGUGGGAAUAUACCUGUGGUGGCUGGAAUGUGAAGUUGAUGCUUGUUCACAUUGUGGCAGACACAAAGCAGAGCUUUCUAAACUAGAGCCAGGGGUGGGUAUCACCACCAAAGAAUCACCCUAGUGACGUACUUCUGCCAGCCUAACUUCAUCUUGUAGAGGCUACACAACCUCACAAUGCUCACAUAACAUAUAGUGUGAUUGCUUAGAUAAAACAAUAGAAACGCACUGAACAUAACAUGUAGCACACAGUCAGUGAUUGGUGAUGAUGAGGAAGAUGAGAAUGAUGACACCUGCUCAUAUCAUGUGCAGCAAUUAGUGAUUUACCAAUGCUCAUCAAGUACUGUCCUGUUGAGGAGGUGUUAUUGAACUUUGUCCCUCAACACUAAGCAGUAACCCUAAUUUAUAGUAGGAUCCCAAUAUGCAUGAGCUCAGUAAUCAACAUUUAUUUUCUAAAACCUAAAAAAGCAGGAGGAACAAUACUUAACCUAGUUUUUCUCUCGUAAAUUUUCAAUUAGCUUGCAUAGCUAUAUUUAGAAUGCCUGAACAUUGAGAGUGUAAUGCUAGCUUUGUGCCCUUGAGUCAAUCAUUUUGUCUUCCAUCCUCUUAAUUUACUGAAACAAAUAAGAGGAUUGGAUAAACCGAAGCUAAACUUGCAAUUAUAAAUCACUAGACUUCUAAUUUUAUAUACAAGUUUGGAUUUUGAUUGUAAAACUUAUUUGUGACAAGUAUUCUCUCUUAUGGCUUUUAAAAUACAUUUCCAUUUGGCUUAUAUGAAUUUCAUGGUCUUAUUGCCAGACAAAAAUAUAUAAUCCACUUCACAUAUGGUCAAGUUUUAGCAAAACACCUUUUACCAGAUUUGCUAAAAAUACAUUGAAUUCACAUUUUUACUGCAGUUUAUCACCACAGAAUUGUCUUGAAGAAAUUAGAAGCUUGUUUUACAUGCUAGAGCAAACUCUAGCUAGGCAAUUCUGUUGCAUAUUAUUUAAAUCCAUAUAAUAAUACACAGUGGGGCCUGAUUAGAGUGCCCAGCUUGAGAAGUUUGCCUGAGAUUUUCCUGGUUAUAGCUAUGAAAUUGUUACAUUCAGAGAAACACAUUCAAAUAAUAAUGAAAAGAAAACAGAAAGAUUUAUACAGUGUGGAAGCAUUUGGGCAUCUGUGGGCAAUGUACAAUAUUUGGAGACUUCUUUGGUUACGACGACUUUUGGAGAUGGCUAGUUUCUUCUUCCUCAGGAAGAAGACAAGAAUGACCCUGUGUAGAAUAGGUCCCAUGGUAUGGUGUUAUCUGGUCCUAAGUGUCAAAAGAGCUACUCAUAAGGACCUUUAAAAUGUUUGUAU
This is an RNA transcript of Peromyscus californicus insignis, 28038 nucleotides long. RefSeq lists it as uncharacterized. NCBI's taxonomy places the organism in Eukaryota, Metazoa, Chordata, Mammalia, Rodentia, Cricetidae. The transcript is spliced from 5 exons. The record is from RefSeq and is a predicted model, not a curated record.